This 419-nucleotide ribosomal RNA is filed under the name uncultured Acidobacteriota bacterium. Its description in RNAcentral is "bacterial SSU rRNA". It matches the Rfam family "Bacterial small subunit ribosomal RNA", at positions 1049 to 1464 of the family's 1533-position model. Lineage: Bacteria; Pseudomonadati; Acidobacteriota. The record is from RNAcentral.
CUGUCGUCAGCUCGUGUCGUGAGAUGUUGGGUUAAGUCCCGCAACGAGCGCAACCCUUGUCUUCUGUUGCCAUCGGGUUAUGCCGGGCACUCUGAAGAGACUGCCGGUGACAAACCGGAGGAAGGUGGGGAUGACGUCAAGUCAGCAUGGCCUUUAUGUCUGGGGCCACACACGUGCUACAAUGGCCGGUACAAACCGUCGCGAUCUCGCGAGAGGGAGCUAAUCGGAGAAAGCCGGUCUCAGUUCGGAUUGUAGGCUGCAGGAAAAAGAUGCAUGAAGUUGGAAUCGCUAGUAAUCGCGGAUCAGCACGCCGCGGUGAAUACGUUCCCGGGCCUUGUACCCACCGCCCGUCACAUCACGAAAGCCGGCUGUACUAGAAGUCGCUCGCUAACCCGCAAGGGGGGCAAGCGCCUAAGGUA